Molecule: non-coding RNA, 23 nt
Filed under: Arabidopsis thaliana (thale cress)
Lineage: Eukaryota; Viridiplantae; Streptophyta; Magnoliopsida; Brassicales; Brassicaceae
Source: RNAcentral
AUCGGUUAGCGGUUUUUUUGCCC